Molecule: ribosomal RNA, 837 nt
Filed under: Escherichia coli
Lineage: Bacteria; Pseudomonadati; Pseudomonadota; Gammaproteobacteria; Enterobacterales; Enterobacteriaceae
Description: partial 23S ribosomal RNA
Rfam family: Bacterial large subunit ribosomal RNA
Source: RNAcentral
GCUCGAUGAGUAGGGCGGGACACGUGGUAUCCUGUCUGAAUAUGGGGGGACCAUCCUCCAAGGCUAAAUACUCCUGACUGACCGAUAGUGAACCAGUACCGUGAGGGAAAGGCGAAAAGAACCCCGGCGAGGGGAGUGAAAAAGAACCUGAAACCGUGUACGUACAAGCAGUGGGAGCACAGAGCAAUCUGUGUGACUGCGUACCUUUUGUAUAAUGGGUCAGCGACUUAUAUUCUGUAGCAAGGUUAACCGAAUAGGGGAGCCGAAGGGAAACCGAGUCUUAACUGGGCGUUAAGUUGCAGGGUAUAGACCCGAAACCCGGUGAUCUAGCCAUGGGCAGGUUGAAGGUUGGGUAACACUAACUGGAGGACCGAACCGACUAAUGUUGAAAAAUUAGCGGAUGACUUGUGGCUGGGGGUGAAAGGCCAAUCAAACCGGGAGAUAGCUGGUUCUCCCCGAAAGCUAUUUAGGUAGCGCCUCGUGAAUUCAUCUCCGGGGGUAGAGCACUGUUUCGGCAAGGGGGUCAUCCCGACUUACCAACCCGAUGCAAACUGCGAAUACCGGAGAAUGUUAUCACGGGAGACACACGGCGGGUGCUAACGUCCGUCGUGAAGAGGGAAACAACCCAGACCGCCAGCUAAGGUCCCAAAGUCAUGGUUAAGUGGGAAACGAUGUGGGAAGGCCCAGACAGCCAGGAUGUUGGCUUAGAAGCAGCCAUCAUUUAAAGAAAGCGUAAUAGCUCACUGGUCGAGUCGGCCUGCGCGGAAGAUGUAACGGGGCUAAACCAUGCACCGAAGCUGCGGCAGCGACACUGUGUGUUGUUGGGUAGGGGAGCGU